AUUUAAUCACCCAACCAAUUCAUUCUGCCUAUUCUACAUGUCCUCUGCAGCAAGAAAACCAAGCCUUCUUCUUCACAACUUCAAUUCAAGAAAACCAUAAUUAAAAUCGAGAAAAGAUUCAUCAUCUACUCUUUCAAAAUCUGUCUACAAAUUGAAGAAUGCCGCCAAGACGUAAAGUAAGGAAUGGGAACCGGGCGACUACA
Salvia splendens (bonfire salvia) is the source of this 203-nucleotide long non-coding RNA. RefSeq lists it as uncharacterized. The transcript is spliced from 3 exons. Lineage: Eukaryota; Viridiplantae; Streptophyta; Magnoliopsida; Lamiales; Lamiaceae. The record is from RefSeq and is a predicted model, not a curated record.